This 274-nucleotide ribosomal RNA is filed under the name uncultured bacterium. RNAcentral's name for it is "partial 16S ribosomal RNA". It matches the Rfam family "Bacterial small subunit ribosomal RNA", at positions 523 to 796 of the family's 1533-position model. The record is from RNAcentral.
AUACGUAUGGGGCAAGCGUUAUCCGGAUUCAUUGGGCGUAAAGCGCGUGUAGGCGGCUUGUUAAGUCAGAUGUGAAAACCGGGGGCUUAACCCGCGGCGUGCAUCUGAAACUGGCAGGCUUGAGUCUGGUAGGGGAAAGUGGAAUUCCUAGUGUAGCGGUGAAAUGCGCAGAUACUAGGAGGAACACCAGUGGCGAAGGCGGCUUUCUGGGCCACGACUGACGCUGAGACGCGAAAGCUAGGAGAGCAAACAGGAUUAGAAACCCGAGUAGUCC